RNAcentral lists this ribosomal RNA (468 nucleotides) under uncultured bacterium. Its description in RNAcentral is "partial 16S ribosomal RNA". It matches the Rfam family "Bacterial small subunit ribosomal RNA", at positions 28 to 507 of the family's 1533-position model. The record is from RNAcentral.
GACGAACGCUGGCGGCGUGCUUAACACAUGCAAGUCGAACGGAAAGGCCCUGCUUUUGUGGGGUGCUCGAGUGGCGAACGGGUGAGUAACACGUGUGUAUACUGCCCUUGACUUUGGGAUAACUUCAGGAAACUGGGGCUAAUACCGGAUAGGAGCUCCUGCUGCAUGGUGGGGGUUGGAAAGAUUCGGCGGUUGGGGAUGGACUCGCGGCUUAUCAGCUUGUUGGUGGGGUAGUGGCUUACCAAGGCUUUGACGGGUAGCCGGCCUGAGAGGGUGACCGGCCACAUUGGGACUGAGAUACGGCCCAGACUCCUACGGGAGGCAGCAGUGGGGAAUAUUGCACAAUGGGCGGAAGCCUGAUGCAGCAACGCCGCGUGCGGGAUGACGGCCUUCGGGUUGUAAACCGCUUUCGCCUGUGACGAAGCGUGAGUGACGGUAAUGGGUAAAGAAGCACCGGCUAACUACGUG